GACGUAGGGAGCAAGCGUUGUCCGGAAUCAUUGGGCGUAAAGCGCGCGUAGGUGGCCUCAUAAGUCCGCUGUGAAAGUCAAAGGCUCAACCUUUGAAAGCCGGUGGAUACUGUGGGGCUAGAGUACGGAAGAGGCGAGUGGAAUUCCUGGUGUAGCGGUGGAAUGCGCAGAUAUCAGGAGGAACACCAAUAGCGAAGGCAGCUCGCUGGGACGUUACUGACACUGAGGCGCGAAAGCGUGGGGAGCGAACAGG
This 253-nucleotide ribosomal RNA is filed under the name uncultured bacterium. RNAcentral describes it as "partial 16S ribosomal RNA". It matches the Rfam family "Bacterial small subunit ribosomal RNA", at positions 524 to 776 of the family's 1533-position model. The record is from RNAcentral.